This 253-nucleotide ribosomal RNA is filed under the name uncultured bacterium. RNAcentral's name for it is "partial 16S ribosomal RNA". It matches the Rfam family "Bacterial small subunit ribosomal RNA", at positions 524 to 776 of the family's 1533-position model. The record is from RNAcentral.
UACAGAGGGGGCAAGCGUUGUUCGGAAUUACUGGGCGUAAAGGGCUCGUAGGCGGCCGGCUAAGUCCGACGUGAAAUCCCCAGGCUUAACCUGGGAACUGCGUCGGAUACUGGCGGGCUUGAAUCCGGGAGAGGGAUGCGGAAUUCCAGGUGUAGCGGUGAAAUGCGUAGAUAUCUGGAGGAACACCAGAGGCGAAGGCGGCCUACUGGGCCAGUACUGACGCUGAGCCGCGAAAGCCAGGGGAGCGAACGGG